This 876-nucleotide long non-coding RNA is filed under the name Bos taurus (domestic cattle). Its description in RNAcentral is "long non-coding RNA NONBTAT025668". Lineage: Eukaryota; Metazoa; Chordata; Mammalia; Artiodactyla; Bovidae. The record is from RNAcentral.
GAAAAUGUGUGUAAAGCACCUGAUAUAAAGGCAUGGUAUGGUUAUUUUUUACUCUGACACUCUAAAACUUCUGUUUACUUUCAUCAACAUUUAUUUCAUGGUUGCAGAAAAUGAAGUCUCAUGAAAAAAAAACUACCUUUCUCAUCCAGUUAAUUAAUUGAAAUUGGGAUUCAAACUUAGGUCAUAAAUUCCAAAUUGCUGUUACUUAUCUCUUUUUCAACAUAUGAAAUAAAAAACAAUUUUACAGUAAAAAAAUAUACCCAGGGUUUGUAACCAUUUCUAACCUGUCAUCUUUUAAUAAUCUCUAAUGAAAUAAUUUAUAGAGCUUUUGAAAAAGUUCUAAAUUAAUGAAUAAUUACAUCCAAGUAAUUUAGAGCAGUUGUGAAACUCACUUUGAUUUCAUUGACUUUUUUGAGACAUUAAAACGAAGAGAACAUUGAAAUAUAUUUGUUUAUAGCCAAGAGGAUUUCAUAUUAUAUAUUGGUCCUUUAUAAUUUGCUAUUCACUAUUUCUGCUAUCUUCACUUUUAUUUCUGUAUUCAUUUUUAAGAUAAAGCUUGAUUCUUACAAGAACUAGGCUGCCAAAUGUAUCUUAUUUGUUACUUAAGGUAAACUCCCAUUUCUAGAAGUUGUAAGAUUCACAAAUGAAUCAAAUUUACAAGGUUAGGGAACUAAGUUUUUUUUUUUAAUGAUAAACAGGAAAUGUCAGUACUCUGAGUAAUAUUUUCCACUCAUAUAGCAAAUAAAUUUUCCAAUGGAUUUUUGGAUUGGUCACUUUAUGUCAAAGUAUAUUUGUUCCAAGUGCUAAAAGAUAUUUUAUAGAAAACUUUAUUCUUCUGCUUGAAUUAAUAGCAUAUGAUAUUUAUGUGAUAAGAUG